Molecule: ribosomal RNA, 427 nt
Filed under: uncultured prokaryote
Description: bacterial SSU rRNA
Rfam family: Bacterial small subunit ribosomal RNA
Source: RNAcentral
CUAAGAAUCUUCCGCAAUGGGCGAAAGCCUGACGGAGCGACGCCGCGUGGAUGAGGAAGGCCGAAAGGUUGUAAAAUCCUUUUCUCCGUGAAGAAUAAGCGAGGGAGGAAAUGCCCUUGUGAUGACGUUAGCGGAGGAAUAAGCCCCGGCUAAUUACGUGCAAGCAGCCGCGGUAAUACGUAAGGGGCGAGCGUGGUUCGGAAUUAUUGGGUGUAAAGGGCGCGUAGGCGGCCCGGCAAGUCUGGUGUUUAAGGCUACGGCUUAACCGUAGUUUGGCGCUGGAAACUCGUGGGCUUUAGUUUAGGAGGGGGAGCUGGAAUUCCAGGUGUAGGGGUGAAAUCUGUAGAUAUCUGGAAGAACACCGGUGGCGAAGGCGAGCUCCUGGCCAUAGACUGACGCUGAGGCGCGAAAGCGUGGGGAGCGAACA